Molecule: ribosomal RNA, 484 nt
Filed under: uncultured bacterium
Lineage: Bacteria
Description: partial 16S ribosomal RNA
Rfam family: Bacterial small subunit ribosomal RNA
Source: RNAcentral
AUUGAACGCUGGCGGCAGGCCUAACACAUGCAAGUCGAGCGGAUGAAGGGAGCUUGCUCCUGGAUUCAGCGGCGGACGGGUGAGUAAUGCCUAGGAAUCUGCCUGGUAGUGGGGGAUAACGUCCGGAAACGGGCGCUAAUACCGCAUACGUCCUGCGGGAGCAAGUGGGGGAUCUUCGGACCUCACGCUAUCAGAUGAGCCUAGGUCGGAUUAGCUAGUUGGUGGGGUAAAGGCCUACCAAGGCGACGAUCCGUAACUGGUCUGAGAGGAUGAUCAGUCACACUGGAACUGAGACACGGUCCAGACUCCUACGGGAGGCAGCAGUGGGGAAUGUUGGACAAUGGGCGAAAGCCUUAUCCAGCCAUGCCGCGUGUGUGAAGAAGGUCUUCGGAUUGUAAAGCACUUUAAGUUGUGGUGAAGGGCAGUAAGUUAAUACCUUGCUGUUUUGACGUUACCAACAGAAUAAGCACCGGCUAACUUCGUG